Molecule: ribosomal RNA, 670 nt
Filed under: Verrucosispora sp. 505
Lineage: Bacteria; Bacillati; Actinomycetota; Actinomycetes; Micromonosporales; Micromonosporaceae
Description: bacterial SSU rRNA
Rfam family: Bacterial small subunit ribosomal RNA
Source: RNAcentral
GCGGAAGGCCCUUCGGGGUACUCGAGCGGCGAACGGGUGAGUAACACGUGAGCAACCUGCCCUAGGCUUUGGGAUAACCCUCGGAAACGGGGGCUAAUACCGAAUAUUCACUUGCGGACGCAUGUUUGUGGGUGGAAAGUUUUUCGGCUUGGGAUGGGCUCGCGGCCUAUCAGCUUGUUGGUGGGGUAAUGGCCUACCAAGGCGACGACGGGUAGCCGGCCUGAGAGGGCGACCGGCCACACUGGGACUGAGACACGGCCCAGACUCCUACGGGAGGCAGCAGUGGGGAAUAUUGCACAAUGGGCGGAAGCCUGAUGCAGCGACGCCGCGUGAGGGAUGACGGCCUUCGGGUUGUAAACCUCUUUCAGCAGGGACGAAGCGCAAGUGACGGUACCUGCAGAAGAAGCGCCGGCCAACUACGUGCCAGCAGCCGCGGUAAGACGUAGGGCGCGAGCGUUGUCCGGAUUUAUUGGGCGUAAAGAGCUCGUAGGCGGCUUGUCGCGUCGACUGUGAAAACCCGUGGCUCAACUGCGGGCCUGCAGUCGAUACGGGCAGGCUAGAGUUCGGUAGGGGAGACUGGAAUUCCUGGUGUAGCGGUGAAAUGCGCAGAUAUCAGGAGGAACACCGGUGGCGAAGGCGGGUCUCUGGGCCGAUACUGACGCUGAGGAGC